Long non-coding RNA from Marmota monax (woodchuck), 3016 nucleotides. RefSeq lists it as uncharacterized. The record is from RefSeq and is a predicted model, not a curated record. Lineage: Eukaryota; Metazoa; Chordata; Mammalia; Rodentia; Sciuridae. The transcript has 4 exons.
GGGGCCUUCAAUAAACAAAGGCUCUGGUAGGAAGGAAAACGGGGAAUCAGCAGAGGGCUGGUAGAUUGCAGCAGAGCAGGGACAGUCGCGAGAUGAAGACCUGGGCCCAGGGACCCCUGGUUCUCUUCUCCAACAACCCUUGGUCCCUUUUUUAUGAAGCAAGGUUUCAGAGGCCACUCUCUGGCCUGGGUGACUUGGGUACCUCUGGAACUUUCCAGGUAGCCGCGAAGGCAGGUUUUGCACUUGUAUCUGGGGGAAAAUCGGAGGUGCUGAAAGCAGUGGAGAUGAAGGGUACCAGAGACCGUCUUGCCAAGUCCUUUCCCAGGCUUUCUGACUCUCUAAGAAUGAGGAGAAUGCCUUGUUCUGUUUCCUGCCAUCAGUGGAGCCCUGGCUCGGGAGGAGGGAGAGUGCGCAUUCUGAGAAAACAAACGCACAGGAGAGAAGGACCAGAAGGAGGAAGUGCCAGCUAGGAAACCCCAGUCCUUCAGGGAUCCGCUGCACAGUUCACGAGCGAACUGCUUCUCGCAGGAAAUUGCCGGAGAAAACUGAAUCCAGGAAAGCAGAAUUUGUGCUCAUAAUAACCUCUACUCUGCGCCUCUGGUUCCUGUGUUGAGAUUGCUUGGGCGCUCAUUUAUUCAGUACUGAUGACACACAUGUACCUAAUGGCCUUCAGAACAUUCUUUUGCUCUAGGUGAAGUCAGCUGCCAUGGAAGAAAUCUAUCCUGAGACCACUAUAUACAAAGUAUAUCUGCUAGAUCUCUGCUGUUCCAGCCAUCCCCUCCCAGCUACCAUGAUCAGCCAGCAAGAAACCAUUUUGGAACUUCUCAUCCCAAAAAAUACCCCUUGCAGAAGAAUGAAGACCCCAGACAUGUGGGCCACCCCAGAUGGUGCUGAGAAUCGAACCCAUUGCCUCAUGCAUGCCAGGCAAGUGCGCUACCACUGAGCCACAACCCCAGCCCUCAAAUGCUAUUUUAGACUAUUGUUCAUCUGAUACUUGCAAACUUACUAAAAACGCUAAAAUAAGUUGCUAUAGUUGGUAAUUUACUUAGAAGGAAAUGUUAUCCUAUGAGCACUUAAAUUCAACCUUCUUAAAAUGUCUUUAUACAAAAAUGACAGUUAAUUUUGCCAUAUAAGACUCUGGGCUCUAUAACGAGUAUCUUCCUUGAAUCUUUUUUUUUUAAUUUUUUUUUAGUACAAUUAUUUUAAACAUCGCCAAUUUCUGUGACACUUACUUGAUGAUAGAAAUUUUAAUAUUUUGAUAGGUUAAUUGGUAUUGUUUGUUGACCAGCAUGUUCUAUUUAGAGUGCUGCUUUGCUAUGUGCUAACACAUAAGUCUUUGGUGGCAAGUGGUUGCUGGGUUUCCUCAUGCCUAUACAUUCCAGACAUUGUUCUCAGUACAUGGAGUAAGAUGUUAUACUAAUAUAUUUUGAUGAUAUUUAACUAUCAUUAUACUACAGUGUAGAGGUAGAUUAAUUUCAUUAAAGUUGUCUGUAAUGGAAGAUAUCUAGGCAUAAAAUCCCAACCAAAAUUUAUAGAGAUGUACCAACACUUAUAUGUGAUCCUCCCAACACAAAUAACAAAAUCUGAGGAUGCUGAAAUUCCUAACAUAAAAUGGAAUAGUAUUUGCAUGUAACCUACAUAUAUACUCCUAUAUAUAUUAAAUCAUCUAUAAGUUACUUAUAAUGCCUAAUACAGGAUAGAUCCUAUGUAAAUAGUUAUUAUACUGUAUUGUUUAGGGAAUGACAGCAAGAAAAAAGUCCAUACAUAUUCCAUACAGAAAUAAUUUUUUUCUGAGUAUUUUAAAUCUACAAUUCGUUGAAUCUGCAGAUGCAGAACCUUUGAAUACAAAUGAUCUAUGGUUCUUAGUUGGCAGGUCAGUGAUUCAAAACUUGCAGAAUUAAAAACCUUAAACCUUUCAGUUUCGUCCAUCAUCUACAUCUUUCUAUGCCAGUUUCCAAGAUCAUCAAUAUAAUCUUUGGGAAUUGCUAAGAAAACAAAUAAUGAAAAAUACCAGUUUCAAAAACAAAGUUAAGCCAGUAAAAUAAGAAAGAAAUUGUCUUUGGAGUCAAAUUUGAAGACUCCUUGCAAUUAAGUCUUAUUCUUAACAUCCUUGAUUUUUUUGCCUCCUGCUAAAUUGUCUUCAAAAGUCAACAAAGAAUCUCUGAACAAUAACUUUACAUUCUACAUAUCCUUCCAAACAAUUCCUGAAGCAGUAUCUUUGUUUAGUUUCCACAUGGGCAGUUUGGGGUGGUUGCAUUUCCUUUUUGGAGCACUGAGCUGGAGGAAGGACAUGUGAGGAAGAGGAGGGAAAGACUUAUAGUCAAGAAAGUGUCAUAACCUAUUUAAAAAGUGUCAGUCACUGACCACAGAGAAAGCAAAAUACUGAAAGAAUGUGUAAUGCUAAAGGUCUUGCCCCUCACUUAAAUAUGUUUUCCACACAUUAUUACAUCAUUACUAAGCAUAAUAUAAACUCAAGGCAAACACUAAUUCAGCUGUCUUGACAUUAUCUUUAAACUGAAUCCUUCAGAUUUAAAUAGUUAACUAUGAAAAAUGAUUUUACUUCUUUUUCCUCCUUGUAUUUCUAAGGAUAUACCAUACCACUCAGUUCUGUAUUUUUCAUUUAAAGCUCCAAGGAAACAAGAUGAUUAUAUAGAACACUCAUAUUUUGAUAGAAGAUGGUUGUUAUGUUUGUGAUGUGGAGUUAGAACCUUUAAUUACACCCAAUUAUAUAAAGUGUUACACGUUUUAUUUUUGAACAUUAAAAUUCAAAUCCCAACAAAUGAGAAUAAAAGGUGUUUUGUUCACAUUUCCAUUACAAGUUUAUAAAGUAUUGUACUUUUUUCCCCCCUAGGAUGAAACACAAUUUAUAUACCGCAAUUGAGUUUUCCCCGAGAGCUUUCUUGAAAACUUUACUCAUAAAUUCAAACUACUCAAAUCGUAGUUGAUGCUUCCAAGAUUCAAAAUAUUCUUAGAAAAUCUUAAAAGAAAUCUUUACUAUGAGCUGGGAUUAUAACUC